UGUGCCCAGAUGGGAUUAGCUAGUAGGUGGGGUAACGGCUCACCUAGGCGACAUCCCUAGCUGGUCUGAGAGGAUGACCAGCCACACUGGAACUGAGACACGGCCCAGACUCCUACGGGAGGCAGCAUG
This 129-nucleotide ribosomal RNA is filed under the name uncultured bacterium. RNAcentral describes it as "partial 16S ribosomal RNA". It matches the Rfam family "Bacterial small subunit ribosomal RNA", at positions 226 to 353 of the family's 1533-position model. The record is from RNAcentral.